This 574-nucleotide ribosomal RNA is filed under the name uncultured bacterium. RNAcentral's name for it is "bacterial SSU rRNA". It matches the Rfam family "Bacterial small subunit ribosomal RNA", at positions 352 to 916 of the family's 1533-position model. The record is from RNAcentral.
CAGUGAGGAAUAUUGCGCAAUGGGGGCAACCCUGACGCAGCGACGCCGCGUGGGUGAGGAAGGCUUUCGGGUCGUAAAACCCUGUCAGAAGGGAAGAAGUGCUUAUAGGUUAAUACCUUGUAAGUUUGACGGUACCUUCAAAGGAAGCACCGGCUAACUCCGUGCCAGCAGCCGCGGUAAUACGGAGGGUGCAAGCGUUGUUCGGAAUCACUGGGCGUAAAGGGCGCGUAGGCGGCUUGGCAAGUCAGAUGUGAAAGCCCACGGCUUAACCGUGGAAGUGCAUUUGAAACUGCUUGGCUUGAGUAUCAGAGGGGAAAGUGGAAUUCCCGGUGUAGAGGUGAAAUUCGUAGAUAUCGGGAGGAAUACCGGUGGCGAAGGCGACUUUCUGGCUGAAUACUGACGCUGAGGCGCGAAAGCGUGGGGAGCAAACAGGAUUAGAUACCCUGGUAGUCCACGCCGUAAACGAUGUCAACUAGGUGCAGGGGGUGUUGAUCCCUUCUGUGUCGCAGCUAACGCAUUAAGUUGACCGCCUGGGGAGUACGGUCGCAAGAUUAAAACUCAAAGGAAUUGACGG